RNAcentral lists this ribosomal RNA (460 nucleotides) under uncultured bacterium. Its description in RNAcentral is "partial 16S ribosomal RNA". It matches the Rfam family "Bacterial small subunit ribosomal RNA", at positions 338 to 795 of the family's 1533-position model. The record is from RNAcentral.
CCUACGGAGUGCAGCAGUGAGGAAUAUUGGUCAAUGGACGAGAGUCUGAACCAGCCAAGUAGCGUGAAGGAUGACUGCCCUAUGGGUUGUAAACUUCUUUUAUAAAGGAAUAAAACGAGGCACGUGUGCGUUUUUGCAUGUACUUUAUGAAUAAGGAUCGGCUAAAGCCGUGCCAGCAGCCGCGGUAAUACGGAGGAUCCGAGCGUUAUCCGGAUUUAUUGGGUUUAAAGGGAGCGUAGAUGGGUUGUUAAGUCAGUUGUGAAAGUUUGCGGCUCAACCGUAAAAUUGCAAUUGAUACUGGCAGUCUUGAGUACAGUUGAGGUAGGCGGAAUUCGUGGUGUAGCGGUGAAAUGCUUAGAUAUCACGAAGAACCCCGAUUGCGAAGGCAGCUUACUAAACUGUGACUGACAUUGAUGCUCGAAAGUGUGGGUAUCAAACAGGAUUAGAUACCCGUGUAGUC